This 814-nucleotide ribosomal RNA is filed under the name uncultured fungus. RNAcentral's name for it is "eukaryotic LSU rRNA". The stretch from base 262 to 415 matches the Rfam family "5.8S ribosomal RNA". Lineage: Eukaryota; Fungi. The record is from RNAcentral.
GUGACCUGCGGAAGGAUCAUUAUUGAAUAAACCUGAUGUGGCUGUUAGCUGGCUUUUCGAAGCAUGUGCUCGUCCGUCAUCUUUAUCACUCCACCUGUGCACAUUUUGUAGUCUUGGAUACCUCUCGAGGCCACUCGGAUUUUAGGAUCGCUGUGCUGUACAAGUCGGCUUUCCUUUCAUUUCCAAGACUAUGUUUUUAUAUACACCAAAGUAUGUUUAAAGAAUGUUAUCAAUAGGAACUUGUUUCCUAUAAAACUAUACAACUUUCAGCAACGGAUCUCUUGGCUCUCGCAUCGAUGAAGAACGCAGCGAAAUGCGAUAAGUAAUGUGAAUUGCAGAAUUCAGUGAAUCAUCGAAUCUUUGAACGCACCUUGCGCUCCUUGGUAUUCCGAGGAGCAUGCCUGUUUGAGUGUCAUUAAAUUCUCAACCCUUCCAGCCUUUUUUUUAUUGGCUUGGUUUGGCUUGGAUGUGGGUGUUGCAGGCUUCAAUAAUGAGGUCAGCUCUCCUUAAAUGCAUUAGCGGAACUUUUGUGGACCGUCUAUUGGUGUGAUAAUUAUCUACGCCGUGGAUGUGAAGCAGCUUUAUAUGAAGUUCAGCUUCUAACCGUCCAUUGACUUGGACAAUUUUUGACAAUUUGACCUCAAAUCAGGUAGGACUACCCGCUGAACUUAAGCAUAUCAAUAAGCGGAGGAAAAGAAACUAACAAGGAUUCCCCUAGUAACUGCGAGUGAAGCGGGAAAAGCUCAAAUUUAAAAUCUGGCAGUCUUUGGCUGUCCGAGUUGUAAUCUAGAGAAGUAUUAUCCGCGCUGGACCG